This 273-nucleotide ribosomal RNA is filed under the name uncultured prokaryote. Its description in RNAcentral is "partial 16S ribosomal RNA". It matches the Rfam family "Bacterial small subunit ribosomal RNA", at positions 524 to 796 of the family's 1533-position model. The record is from RNAcentral.
UACGAAUGGGGCGAGCGUUGUUCGGAAUCACUGGGCGUAAAGCGUACGCAGGCUGUCAUAAAAGUUAGAAGUGAAAGCCCCGGGCUUAACCCGGGAAUUGCUUUUAAAACUGUAUGACUAGAGUACUGGAGAGGUUGGCGGAAUUCCGAGUGUAGCAGUGAAAUGCGUAGAUAUUCGGAGGAACACCGAUGGCGUAGGCAGCCAACUGGACAGUUACUGACGCUCAUGUACGAAAGCGUGGGGAUCAAACAGGAUUAGAAACCCCCGUAGUCC